This 101-nucleotide non-coding RNA is filed under the name unclassified sequences. RNAcentral's name for it is "pemK RNA". It matches the Rfam family "pemK RNA". The record is from RNAcentral.
AUAAUGAUACUUCUGUCCAGUCCUAAGGUCGAGCGAGAUAAAACCGUCACAGCCAAGGAGGGCAGCUCCGGGAGAUCCUCGGAGGGGUGAGAGUCCCAUGA